Molecule: non-coding RNA, 29 nt
Filed under: Cricetulus griseus (Chinese hamster)
Lineage: Eukaryota; Metazoa; Chordata; Mammalia; Rodentia; Cricetidae
Source: RNAcentral
AGAAUUUCAGCUUUGGGUGCUGACGGUGG